AUGAGAGACGACGUAUUGCCUGAAGACGCACAGGCCACACCACGCUGUUCCUUGUGGGUCACAAUCCUGGUUGACCAGCGGGACCCGGAGACAGUUUGGCGCAGCGAAAAGAAUCUGGAGCGGUGGUUUGGGAUCUUGGAGGGCCCCUGCCUAUCCGGCCUGAAUGCACACCCCACCCGCUUCAACAUCUCUCUCUCUACCUACGGAACAAGGAAGAAAACAAAGGAACAAGGGAGGUUGGCAACUGGCCCGAUGCCCGAUGCUAACGCGGUACCGGGCACACAGUAGACCUCUGUAGAGGCCAGGAUUGGGGAUUAUGCCCGCGCUGAUCCUAAAUGCCCGUCGGAUGGCCGCUCCUGCAGCUUAGCAUCACGGGAGCAGCUCCUGACACUCCUACGUGCUGAUCCUUCCUGAACCACGUCCGCGUCUUAAACUUUCUCAGGGCCACGCGGCCCAUGUAGAGAGGUGUGCGGGCACCCACUUAAUCUGGGGGCACCUCCGAGGUAGGGGCAGCGGGGCGCGCCUGCAAGGAGUAGGGGGCACUGGGAGCUCAGGGUAAGAGGCUGAGAAGGAGGCUCCGAAGACAGGCGCCGGAAGGUUUGCACAGAAGCAAGGCGACCACCGUCACCCAAGAUGAAUCCCCAGCUCCCCCGCCCCGUGCCCUCUGGUUUGCAUCAUUUUCAAAUAUCAAAAGCAGCCACGAGCUCACGUGGAGCCCCGGGGAGAGAGCAUUCCGCCUUGUUGACACUCCCCAGAUGGCUCCAGCCACCACAGUUCUCUCUCUCUUGUGACUUUUUUACCAGAACGAAAUCAUCUUGUCUGGGGCUGCCUCUGCCUGCGUUUUGUUAUUGUUCAUGGUCUCCUUGAGAGCGAAGUGUGAGGCAGCUAAAAGCAUUCCUUUGGAGAUGCUAUCUAAUCAGCCAGGGACUUGCGGGGCCCCUGGAGUGGACGGAAGGACGCACCCCUGCAAGGGCCACCCCCACCCGCACACCCCCUCCGUGCUGGAGGCUCGGCAGGUAGCAGGGAAAUUUCUCGGUUUGGGCGGUUUGGCUUUUUACGGCCAUCGGUCCUGAAUGCGUGACAGUGUUGCAUUUUUAAUUAUGAUGAUGUUAAAUGAACUUAAUGGGUGACUCUCUCCCGAUUCACAGAGCGUUUUUAUAACAUUUAUUAAAAAAGGCCAAAGUUUAUUUUACAAUCCGUAAUAAACGGGGACACAAAAAUGCA
This 1224-nucleotide long non-coding RNA is filed under the name Vulpes vulpes (red fox). Its description in RNAcentral is "lncRNA (ENSVVUG00000005498.1)". The record is from RNAcentral. Lineage: Eukaryota; Metazoa; Chordata; Mammalia; Carnivora; Canidae.